RNAcentral lists this transfer RNA (78 nucleotides) under Vibrio diabolicus. RNAcentral describes it as "tRNA-Asp". It matches the Rfam family "tRNA". From Rfam's summary of the family: Transfer RNA (tRNA) molecules are approximately 80 nucleotides in length. Their secondary structure includes four short double-helical elements and three loops (D, anti-codon, and T loops). The record is from RNAcentral. Lineage: Bacteria; Pseudomonadati; Pseudomonadota; Gammaproteobacteria; Vibrionales; Vibrionaceae.
GGAGUGGUAGUUCAGUUGGUUAGAAUACCGGCCUGUCACGCCGGGGGUCGCGGGUUCGAGUCCCGUUCCACUCCGCCA